UACAGAGGGGGGCAAGCGUUAUUCGGAAUUAUUGGGCGUAAAGGGCGCGUAGGCGGCUUGGCAAGUGGAUGGUGAAAUCCCUCGGCUUAACCGAGGAACUGCCGUCCAAACUGCUUAGCUUGAGACCGGGAGAGGUGAGUGGAAUUCCCAGUGUAGCGGUGAAAUGCGUAGAUAUUGGGAGGAACACCAGUGGCGAAGGCGGCUCACUGGACCGGUACUGACGCUGAGGCGCGAAAGCGUGGGGAGCAAACGGG
Molecule: ribosomal RNA, 254 nt
Filed under: uncultured bacterium
Lineage: Bacteria
Description: partial 16S ribosomal RNA
Rfam family: Bacterial small subunit ribosomal RNA
Source: RNAcentral